UACGAAGGGGGCUAGCGUUGCUCGGAAUCACUGGGCGUAAAGCGCACGUAGGCGGCUUUUUAAGUCAGGGGUGAAAUCCCGGAGCUCAACUCCGGAACUGCCUUUGAUACUGAGAAGCUUGAGUCCGGGAGAGGUGAGUGGAACUGCGAGUGUAGAGGUGAAAUUCGUAGAUAUUCGCAAGAACACCAGUGGCGAAGGCGGCUCACUGGCCCGGUACUGACGCUGAGGUGCGAAAGCGUGGGGAGCAAACAGG
RNAcentral lists this ribosomal RNA (253 nucleotides) under uncultured bacterium. RNAcentral describes it as "partial 16S ribosomal RNA". It matches the Rfam family "Bacterial small subunit ribosomal RNA", at positions 524 to 776 of the family's 1533-position model. The record is from RNAcentral.